GGUGGGGGAUGGGAGAUGGGAACUGGAGCCUUCUAAGAGCCGAAGUCUAGGCUCCUGUUCCGCCAUUGCUGGCUUGGGUAAGGGCUCCCAGGGUGAUUUGAGAGUUGCCAGGAGAGGAAGGCCAUUUGGCAAGAAUCCUGACAGACAAAAGCUGGAGGAGGGUAGAGCAAGAUGGCAGAAUAGAAAGCGCCACCGAUCAUACUCCGCCCCCACAAGGACACCAAGUUAACUACCUACACAGAAGAAAUACCUUCAUAAGAAUCAAAAAUCAGACACACCCUGGGCCAGAAGAGAACCCACUUCCUUGAAGGAAAGGAUCCAGUCCUGGCAGCAUUCAUCGCCUGCUAACUGAAGAUCCCUUGGGCCUUGAAUACCAGCAGCAAUACCCAGG
Molecule: long non-coding RNA, 391 nt
Organism: Pan troglodytes (chimpanzee)
Lineage: Eukaryota; Metazoa; Chordata; Mammalia; Primates; Hominidae
Exons: 3
Source: RefSeq, a predicted model, not a curated record